This 599-nucleotide ribosomal RNA is filed under the name Rana johnsi (John's groove-toed frog). RNAcentral's name for it is "partial 16S ribosomal RNA". The stretch from base 343 to 591 matches the Rfam family "Archaeal large subunit ribosomal RNA", at positions 1787 to 2143 of the family's 2987-position model. Lineage: Eukaryota; Metazoa; Chordata; Amphibia; Anura; Ranidae. The record is from RNAcentral.
UUAUUUGAAACAGGACACAACCUACAAUAUAGGGUAAACAAGAGUGAUUAAAAUAAAGUGGGCCUAAAAGCAGCCAUCUUUAAAAAAGCGUUAAAGCUUAACUAUUCCCCACUCGUAAUACCUAAACUUCCCACUAACCCCUCACCACUAUUGAACGAUUUUAUAUCUUUAUAAAAGCUAUCAUGCUAGAACUAGUAACAAGAAAUUGCCUUUCUCCUAAAUGUAAAUAUAAGCCAAAAUAGACUAUCUAUUGGUUAUUAACGUAAAUGCUAAAUUAUAGUAACACUCGCUAGAAAAUCCUAUAACCCCCAACGUUAACCUUACACUAGAACAUUACAGGAAAGAUUAAAAGAAAAAGAAGGAACUCGGCAAAUUUUAGCCUCGCCUGUUUACCAAAAACAUCGCCUCUUGAUAAAACAUAAGAGGUCCAGCCUGCCCAGUGACAAAGUUUAACGGCCGCGGUACCCUAACCGUGCGAAGGUAGCAUAAUCACUUGUUCUUUAAAUGAGGACUCGUAUCAACGGCACUACGAGGGCUAUACUGUCUCCUUUUUCCAAUCAGUGAAACUGAUCUCCCCGUGAAGAAGCGGGGAUGAGAAU